AACGAACGCUGGCGGCAGGCUUAACACAUGCAAGUCGAGCGCACUCUUUUAGAGUGAGCGGCAGACGGGUGAGUAACGCGUGGGAAUCUACCCAGAUCUACGGAAUAACACAGAGAAAUUUGUGCUAAUACCGUAUACGCCCUACGGGGGAAAGAUUUAUCGGAUUUGGAUGAGCCCGCGUUGGAUUAGCUAGUUGGUAGGGUAAAGGCCUACCAAGGCGACGAUCCAUAGCUGGUCUGAGAGGAUGAUCAGCCACACUGGGACUGAGACACGGCCCAGACUCCUACGGGAGGCAGCAGUAGGGAAUUUUCCACAAUGGACGGAAGUCUGAUGGAGCAACGCCGCGUGUGCGAAGAAGGUUUUCGGAUUGUAAAGCACUGUUGUAUAGGAAGAAUAAGGUAAACAGGGAAUGGUUUACUGAUGACGGUACUAUACGAGGAAGUCACGGCUAACUACGUGCCAGCAGCCGCAGUAACAC
RNAcentral lists this ribosomal RNA (478 nucleotides) under uncultured bacterium. RNAcentral describes it as "bacterial SSU rRNA". It matches the Rfam family "Bacterial small subunit ribosomal RNA", at positions 29 to 526 of the family's 1533-position model. The record is from RNAcentral.